This 492-nucleotide ribosomal RNA is filed under the name uncultured bacterium. Its description in RNAcentral is "partial 16S ribosomal RNA". It matches the Rfam family "Bacterial small subunit ribosomal RNA", at positions 29 to 507 of the family's 1533-position model. The record is from RNAcentral.
AUUGAACGCUGGCGGCAUGCUUUACACAUGCAAGUCGAACGGUAACAGGCCUUCGGGUGCUGACGAGUGGCGAACGGGUGAGUAAUGCAUCGGAACGUACCCAGAGGCGGGGGAUAACGCAGCGAAAGCUGUGCUAAUACCGCAUGUGAUCUGAGGAUUAAAGCGGGGGACCGAGCAGCAAUGUUUGGCCUCGCCCCUUUGGAGCGGCCGAUGUCGGAUUAGCUAGUUGGGGGGGUAAAGGCCUACCAAGGCGACGAUACGUAGCUGGUCUGAGAGGACGACCGAGCACACUGGGACUGAGAGACGGUCCAGACUCCUACGGGAGGCAGCGAUGGGGAAUCUUCCGAAAUGGGCGAAAGCAUGACGGAGCAACGCCGAGUGAGGGAUGAAGGUAGUCGGAUCGUAAACCGCUGUUAGCAGGGACGAAAAAAUGUGUAAGUAACUAUGCACGUCUUGACGGUACCUACUCAGAAAGCCACGGCUAACUACGUG